GUACGGGGCAAGCGUUGUCCGGAUUUAUUGGGCGUAAAGAGCGUGUAGGCGGCCAGGUAGGUCGGUUGUGAAAACUGGAGGCUCAACCUUCAGACGUCGACCGAAACCCCCUGGCUAGAGUCCGGAAGAGGAGAGUGGAAUUCCUGGUGUAGCGGUGAAAUGCGCAGAUAUCAGGAAGAACACCCGUGGCGAAGGCGGCUCUCUGGGACGGUACUGACGCUGAGACGCGAAAGCGUGGGGAGCGAACAGGAUUAGAUACCCUGGUAGUCCACGCCGUAAACGAUGGGUGCUAGGUGUGGGGGGUGUCGACUCCCUCCGUGCCGAAGCUAACGCAUUAAGCACCCCGCCUGGGGAGUACGGCCGCAAGGCUA
RNAcentral lists this ribosomal RNA (371 nucleotides) under uncultured bacterium. RNAcentral describes it as "bacterial SSU rRNA". It matches the Rfam family "Bacterial small subunit ribosomal RNA", at positions 527 to 896 of the family's 1533-position model. The record is from RNAcentral.